Molecule: ribosomal RNA, 254 nt
Filed under: uncultured bacterium
Lineage: Bacteria
Description: partial 16S ribosomal RNA
Rfam family: Bacterial small subunit ribosomal RNA
Source: RNAcentral
CACGUAGGGGGCGAGCGUUGUCCGGAUUUAUUGGGCGUAAAGAGCUCGUAGGCGGCUCAGUAAGUCAGGUGUGAAAACUCCAGGCUCAACCUGGAGACGCCACCUGAUACUGCUGUGGCUAGAGUCCGGUAGGGGAGCAUGGAAUUCCUGGUGUAGCGGUGAAAUGCGCAGAUAUCAGGAGGAACACCAGUGGCGAAGGCGGUGCUCUGGGCCGGAACUGACGCUGAGGAGCGAAAGCGUGGGGAGCGAUCCGG